This 325-nucleotide ribosomal RNA is filed under the name Allapsidae sp. RNAcentral describes it as "SSU rRNA". The stretch from base 60 to 325 matches the Rfam family "Eukaryotic small subunit ribosomal RNA", at positions 688 to 955 of the family's 1831-position model. Lineage: Eukaryota; Cercozoa; Glissomonadida; Viridiraptoridae. The record is from RNAcentral.
GAUUUCUGGUUUGAUGUACCUGUCCCGCCACGGUAACGUGUGUGAGUGACGGAUGUAUGUCUGCCAUCCUUCUAGAGAGUAUAAACUAUCCUUUACUGGACCGGUUUAUGCCAUCUAGAUCUUUUACUUUGAAAAAAUUAGAGUGUUUAAAGCAGGCUAUUGCUAUGAAUACAUUAGCAUGGAAUAAUAAUCUAGGACUUCGGUUCUAUUUUGUUGGUUUCUAUAACUGAAGUAAUGAUUGAUAGGGAUAGUUGGGGGUGCUAGUAUUGGCCGGUCAGAGGUGAAAUUCUUGGAUUCGGUCAAGACUAACUUAUGCGAAAGCAUU